This 207-nucleotide long non-coding RNA is filed under the name Carica papaya (papaya). RNAcentral's name for it is "long non-coding RNA (CPAP_LNC010834)". Lineage: Eukaryota; Viridiplantae; Streptophyta; Magnoliopsida; Brassicales; Caricaceae. The record is from RNAcentral.
GAAUCCAAAAUCAGUAAGAAAAAUCCUUUUCAGCCAAUUUUGAGGUUCCGGUACGGUGGCACCACCGUUCUCUGCCAAUGGUUCCACCGGUGGCGGUCGUAGUUUGCCUCGACCUAGCUGUUUUCUAUCGAUUUUAGCCAGUUUUGGCCGACUUUGUAUAUAUUUUUGCGAGAAAAUACGUUAGGGGGCCUCAAUUGGCUGAAAAAA